GGUGCCUUAGCUCAAUUGGUUAGAGCUUCCGCUUGUCAGGCGGGAGGUUGCGGGUUCAAGUCCCGUAGGUGCCG
Molecule: transfer RNA, 74 nt
Filed under: Hyaloraphidium curvatum
Lineage: Eukaryota; Fungi; Monoblepharomycota; Hyaloraphidiomycetes; Hyaloraphidiales; Hyaloraphidiaceae
Description: tRNA-Asp
Rfam family: tRNA
About the family: Transfer RNA (tRNA) molecules are approximately 80 nucleotides in length. Their secondary structure includes four short double-helical elements and three loops (D, anti-codon, and T loops).
Source: RNAcentral